CCUACGGGAGGCAGCAGUGGGGAAUUUUGGACAAUGGGCGCAAGCCUGAUCCAGCAAUGCCGCGUGAGUGAAGAAGGCCUUCGGGUUGUAAAGCUCUUUUGUCAGGGAAGAAACGGUGGAGGCUAAUAUCCUUUGCUAAUGACGGUACCUGAAGAAUAAGCACCGGCUAACUACGUGCCAGCAGCCGCGGUAAUACGUAGGGUGCAAGCGUUAAUCGGAAUUACUGGGCGUAAAGCGUGCGCAGGCGGUUUUGUAAGUUUGUCGUGAAAUCCCCGGGCUCAACCUGGGAAUGGCGAUGAAGACUGCAAGGCUAGAAUCUGGCAGAGGGGGGUAGAAUUCCACGUGUAGCAGUGAAAUGCGUAGAGAUGUGGAGGAACACCGAUGGCGAAGGCAGCCCCCUGGGUACAAGAUUGACGCUCAUGCACGAAAGCGUGGGGAGCAAAACAGGAUUAGAUACCCUGGUAGUCCACGCCCUAAAACGAUGUCUACUAGUUGUCGGGUUUUAAAUAACUUGGUAACGCAGCUAACGCGUGAAAGUGACCGCCNGGAGGUACGUACGCGAGAGUAAACUACAAGAAAGUAGAGCGNGAGAGAGACGAACGGACGACGACGAGGGAGGAGG
Molecule: ribosomal RNA, 622 nt
Filed under: uncultured bacterium
Lineage: Bacteria
Description: bacterial SSU rRNA
Rfam family: Bacterial small subunit ribosomal RNA (bases 1-545)
Source: RNAcentral